This 627-nucleotide ribosomal RNA is filed under the name Microbacterium sp. Ri3Ps_5434. RNAcentral describes it as "bacterial SSU rRNA". It matches the Rfam family "Bacterial small subunit ribosomal RNA", at positions 387 to 1022 of the family's 1533-position model. Lineage: Bacteria; Bacillati; Actinomycetota; Actinomycetes; Micrococcales; Microbacteriaceae. The record is from RNAcentral.
UGCAGCAACGCCGCGUGAGGGAUCACGGCCUAUCGGGUUGUAAACCUCUUUUAGCAGGGAAGAAGCGAAAGUGACGGUACCUGCAGAAAAAGCGCCGGCUAACUACGUGCCAGCAGCCGCGGUAAUACGUAGGGCGCAAGCGUUAUCCGGAAUUAUUGGGCGUAAAGAGCUCGUAGGCGGUUUGUCGCGUCUGCUGUGAAAUCCCGAGGCUCAACUUCGGGUCUGCAGUGGGUACGGGCAGACUAGAGUGCGGUAGGGGAGAUUGGAAUUCCUGGUGUAGCGGUGGAAUGCGCAGAUAUCAGGAGGAACACCGAUGGCGAAGGCAGAUCUCUGGGCCGUAACUGACGCUGAGGAGCGAAAGGGUGGGGAGCAAACAGGCUUAGAUACCCUGGUAGUCCACCCCGUAAACGUUGGGAACUAGUUGUGGGGUCCAUUCCACGGAUUCCGUGACGCAGCUAACGCAUUAAGUUCCCCGCCUGGGGAGUACGGCCGCAAGGCUAAAACUCAAAGGAAUUGACGGGGACCCGCACAAGCGGCGGAGCAUGCGGAUUAAUUCGAUGCAACGCGAAGAACCUUACCAAGGCUUGACAUAUACGAGAACGCUGCAGAAAUGUAGAACUCUUUGGA